Molecule: ribosomal RNA, 253 nt
Filed under: uncultured bacterium
Lineage: Bacteria
Description: partial 16S ribosomal RNA
Rfam family: Bacterial small subunit ribosomal RNA
Source: RNAcentral
UACGAAGGGGGCUAGCGUUGCUCGGAAUUAUUGGGCGUAAAGCGCGUGUAGGCGGCUUGGCAAGUCAGAUGUGAAAGCCCUCGGCUUAACCGAGGAAGUGCGUCUGAAACUGCUGAGCUUGAGUGUCGGAGAGGAUGGCGGAAUUCCGCAAGUAGAGGUGAAAUUCGUAGAUAUGCGGAGGAACACCAGUGGCGAAGGCGGCUCACUGGACCGGCAUUGACGCUGAUGUGCGAAAGCGUGGGGAGCAAACAGG